This 949-nucleotide ribosomal RNA is filed under the name Athelia epiphylla. RNAcentral describes it as "LSU rRNA". It matches the Rfam family "Eukaryotic large subunit ribosomal RNA", at positions 38 to 966 of the family's 3401-position model. Lineage: Eukaryota; Fungi; Basidiomycota; Agaricomycetes; Atheliales; Atheliaceae. The record is from RNAcentral.
GCAUAUCAAUAAGCGGAGGAAAAGAAACUAACAAGGAUUCCCCUAGUAACUGCGAGUGAAGCGGGAAAAGCUCAAAUUUAAAAAUCUGGCUGCCUCUGGUGGCCUGAGUUGUAAUCUGGAGAAGCGUUUUCCGCGUCGGACCGUGUACAAGUCUUCUGGAAUGGAGCGUCGUAGAGGGUGAGAAUCCCGUCUCUGACACGGACUGCCGAUGCUUUUGUGAUGCGCUCUCGAAGAGUCGAGUUGUUUGGGAAUGCAGCUCAAAAUGGGUGGUAAAUUCCAUCUAAAGCUAAAUAUUGGCGAGAGACCGAUAGCGAACAAGUACCGUGAGGGAAAGAUGAAAAGCACUUUGGAAAGAGAGUUAAACAGUACGUGAAAUUGUUGAAAGGGAAACGCUUGAAGUCAGUCGCGUCACCCGAGACUCAGCCUGGCUUGCCUGGUGUACUUCUCGGUUGACGGGUCAGCAUCAGUUUUGACCGCCGGACAAAGGCCAGGGGAAUGUGGCAUCCCUCGGGAUGUGUUAUAGCCUCUGGUUCGCAUACGGCGAUUGGGACUGAGGAACUCAGCACGCCUUUAUGGUCGGGGUUCGCCCACGUAACGUGCUUAGGAUGCUGGCAUAAUGGCUUUAAGCGACCCGUCUUGAAACACGGACCAAGGAGUCUAACAUGCCCGCGAGUGUUUGGGUGUCAAACCCGAGCGCGCAAUGAAAGUGAAAAUUGAGAUCCCUGUCGUGGGGAGCAUCGAUGCCCGGACCAGACCUUCUGUGACGGAUCUGCGGUAGAGCGUGUAUGUUGGGACCCGAAAGAUGGUGAACUAUGCCUGAAUAGGGUGAAGCCAGAGGAAACUACUGGUGGAGGCUCGUAGCGAUUCUGACGUGCAAAUCGAUCGUCGAAUUUGGGUAUAGGGGGCGAAAGACUAAUCGAACCAUCUAGUAGCUGGUUUCCUGCCGAAG